This 128-nucleotide small RNA is filed under the name Pantoea ananatis. RNAcentral describes it as "Salmonella enterica Typhi npcRNA 44". It matches the Rfam family "Salmonella enterica Typhi npcRNA 44". Lineage: Bacteria; Pseudomonadati; Pseudomonadota; Gammaproteobacteria; Enterobacterales; Erwiniaceae. The record is from RNAcentral.
CUUUAACAAUCCGGAACAAGCUGAAAAUUUGAAACGACGCAUUGUCGUGUUCCUCCGUAAUAAGGAACACAGCACAACGCGUUCGAGUCUCUCAAAAGCUCACGACACGCAGCGUAAAACGCCUGUGG